GAUGAACGCUGGCGGCGUGCCUAAUACAUGCAAGUCGAGCGAACAGACGAGGAGCUUGCUCCUCUGACGUUAGCGGCGGACGGGUGAGUAACACGUGGAUAACCUACCUAUAAGACUGGGAUAACUUCGGGAAACCGGAGCUAAUACCGGAUAAUAUAUUGAACCGCAUGGUUCAAUAGUGAAAGACGGUUUUGCUGUCACUUAUAGAUGGAUCCGCGCCGCAUUAGCUAGUUGGUAAGGUAACGGCUUACCAAGGCAACGAUGCGUAGCCGACCUGAGAGGGUGAUCGGCCACACUGGAACUGGGACACGGUCCAGACUCCUACGGGAGGCAGCAGUAGGGAAUCUGCCGCAAUAGGCGAAAGCCUGACGGAGCAACGCCGCGUGAGUGAUGAAGGUCUUCGGAUCGUAAAACUCUGUUAUUAGGGAAGAACAAAUGUGUAAGUAACUAUGCACGUCUUGACGGUACCUAAUCAGAAAGCCACGGCUAACUACGUG
This 497-nucleotide ribosomal RNA is filed under the name uncultured bacterium. RNAcentral describes it as "partial 16S ribosomal RNA". It matches the Rfam family "Bacterial small subunit ribosomal RNA", at positions 28 to 507 of the family's 1533-position model. The record is from RNAcentral.